AUUGAACGCUGGCGGCAUGCUUUACACAUGCAAGUCGAACGGUAACAGGGUGCUUGCACCGCUGACGAGUGGCGAACGGGUGAGUAAUGCAUCGGAAUGUACCGUGUAAUGGGGGAUAGCUCGGCGAAAGCCGGAUUAAUACCGCAUACGCCCUGAGGGGGAAAGUGGGGGACCGAAAGGCCUCACGUUAUACGAGCAGCCGAUGUCUGAUUAGCUAGUUGGUGAGGUAAAGGCUCACCAAGGCGUCGAUCAGUAGCGGGUCUGAGAGGAUGAUCCGCCACACUGGAACUGAGACACGGCCCAGACUCCUACGGGAGGCAGCAGUGGGGAAUUUUGGACAAUGGGCGCAAGCCUGAUCCAGCCAUGCCGCGUGUCUGAAGAAGGCCUUCGGGUUGUAAAGGACUUUUGUCCGGGAGCAAAUCCUAGUGGUUAAUAACCGCUGGGUCUGAGAGUACCGGAAGAAUAAGCACCGGCUAACUACGUG
RNAcentral lists this ribosomal RNA (484 nucleotides) under uncultured bacterium. RNAcentral describes it as "partial 16S ribosomal RNA". It matches the Rfam family "Bacterial small subunit ribosomal RNA", at positions 30 to 507 of the family's 1533-position model. The record is from RNAcentral.